CGGGGCGUGGCGCAGUGGUAGCGCACCCCCUUUGGGAGCGGGGGGUCGCAAGUUCGAGCCUUGCCGCCCCGACCA
This 75-nucleotide transfer RNA is filed under the name Dehalococcoidia bacterium. Its description in RNAcentral is "tRNA-Pro". It matches the Rfam family "tRNA". From Rfam's summary of the family: Transfer RNA (tRNA) molecules are approximately 80 nucleotides in length. Their secondary structure includes four short double-helical elements and three loops (D, anti-codon, and T loops). Further hydrogen bonds mediate the characteristic L-shaped molecular structure. tRNAs have two regions of fundamental functional importance: the anti-codon, which is responsible for specific mRNA codon recognition, and the 3' end, to which the tRNAs corresponding amino acid is attached (by aminoacyl-tRNA synthetases). tRNAs cope with the degeneracy of the genetic code in two manners: having more than one tRNA (with a specific anti-codon) for a particular amino acid; and 'wobble' base-pairing, i.e. permitting non-standard base-pairing at the 3rd anti-codon position. Lineage: Bacteria; Bacillati; Chloroflexota; Dehalococcoidia. The record is from RNAcentral.